AUAUAUACAUACAUACAUAUAUAUAUAUAUUCUUAUGUAUGGAUAGAUGUAUGCAUAGAUAUAUGUCUGCAUUACAUGCGCGCGCGUGGCUGUGUGUAUAAAUGUGUUUGCAUACUGUAUCAUCAAGAUUCUUGAACAGCAUGUUACCUUUAAAUAAGCAUAUGCUCCCACUUACUUCAUUUCUAAAAGGUUUUUUUUGAGGCAGUUUUUUAAACAUCAGUUUUUUUGCCAUUCCAUAAAAUGUGCUAGUUUUAGUGACAAAGAUCGCGAUUGUUCAUCGCACUUUAGCAGUUCGGGUACAGAACAAAGAAGUCCUUACGUAGUCGCAUGAUCUGCGAGAAAUGGCAGCCAAAUUUAUUUUUCAGAUCGUUUCUGCCGUUUUAGAAAAGACAGGACAUUAGAUCUUUUAGUCUCAUAUAUAUAUAUAUAUAUAUGUGUGUGUGUGUGUGUGUGUGUGUGUGGAGAGAGAGAGAGAGUACAUUAAACUUGCCGCGGAGAGUGGAAAAUGCGAAGUUUUGGACAGAGAUCUCCUUCAAGGAAAAGCUAGUAGGAAUGAAAUUAAAGAUAACAGAAUUUUAUAUUUUCGGGAGCCUCGAAGAUAUAAAGCUCUGCUGUCUUGCGUUAAUUUUUCUCCUGUGAAAUUUUCCUUGGCGCAUGACUAUGUCCGAAACGUCUCUUGGGCGUCUUCUUGAUCACACACACACACACACACACACACACACACACACACACACACACACACACACACACACACACAGUUAUAAUAUAUCUAUAUAGGGUAAAGAUCCUUCCUAAGUUAUAGAAUCACUGGGUUUGGUUUCCCGGUUUCCGUGGUGCAUGGACUUCCUACUGGACGGGACGCCGGUCCAUCGCAGGAUCACUCUUUUUUGCCAGCUGAGUGAACUGGGACAACGUGAAAUGAAGUGUUUUGUUUAAGAACACAACGCGCCGUCCGGUCCAGGAAUCGAAACCACAAUCUUACGAUCAUGAACCCAACACCGUACCACUAAACCACGAGCAAACACACACGUGCGCGCGCACAUGAUAGAUAGUUAGAUAGAUAGAUAGAUAGAUAGAUAGAUAGAUAGAUAGAUAGAUAGAUAGAUAGAUAGAUAGAUAGAUAGAUAGAUAGAUAUGAUGGUUAUGGCUGGAACGCCUUUGGUCAUUACUGUUCAAUUUAGUCUGAUCUGAUGUUAAACAACAAACACAUGUGAUCCAGGCACGUCUCCAUAUUUGUUGACGGAAAACAUUUUUGAAAAAUUAUUUACCUGUAAGAACUCUUGAUGUUGUUAUUUAGCCCUGGGCAGCCUUGAUUCGUUUGAGUUAUCAAAGACAUUCCAACCGUGUCAAUCGUUCUUUUUUGCGUAUUGUUUCUUCUUUAGGAUUGUAGGAUGUUUUGCUGCUUUAUCUAGCAGAUCGAGCGACCAAUUGAAGUUUCGUGGUUGGGUCGUCUAUAACUUAUAUUUUUAAUAGGAAACCUUUCUCAUCUAAAUCUAUAUUAUUAUCAUUGAGAGCUACAAGGAGAGUGUCAGCCUGCUGAUGUGUGUGUGUGUGUGUUUGAGUGUAUGGGCGCGCGAAGACAGUUUAAGUUCAAAUUACCCAGCCUGUCGAACCAAAUAUAAAUAUAUCUCAACGUGUUUUUAUGUCACUCGUCGCUAUAAACAGCAGAAGUUUUGUGAUGGACAUCUCGUUAAUUUAUAACGUUUCUAGUUAAAAGGAUUGGGUCAUUCAAGUUGAUCUCCCCAUAGAUAAUAGAACAAUAAGUCUCUCGAUCGUCCCUACCCCUCCAUAAAUCUCUACUAUCAGGGCUGUAACCUACAAUAAUGGGUGGAGUCGAUGGUAUUGUUUCCUUCUAUGGUAGGUGUGGUCUGUUGUAUUUGUUGACUGAUAUGGGUAAGAUCUAGGGUUUUGUAUGUUUCCUGCUAUGGUGGGUGUGGUCUAUAGGUGGGUUUGGUGUUGGUUAUUAUACUAUGGCAGUGAUAAAGGUAUGCUUCAUAUUAUGGAUGUGGUCUACAGUGAUCUAUGUUUAUAUUACGGGUGAGGUAUGGGUAUUCUAUGUUACAUACUACAACUAUGGUCUAAGAUACUGUAUAUUAAAUAGUAUAGAUGUGGCCUGGGGUUGUAUGGGUGCGGUUCAAGGUUCAAGGUAUGAAACUCAUUGUGGCUGCCAUCAAAGGUGUAUGUGUUACCUGUCAUGGGUGUGGUCUAAGAUACUGUCUGUUACAUUCUACGGGUGUAGUUUAGGUUGUUGUAUGUUACCUGCUACGAGUGCGGUCUCGGACGUUGUGGGGGUUACAGUUCUAAAAUGACUCGCAUUGCAGAACUUCAAAAAAUAGUCGUGCAUCUCGUUCCAGUGUUUCACUUUUCCUCACCAGGUGUCAGGGGCAUCUGCUUAUUGAUAUAAAACAAUUAGAUGGUGGUGGUGGUGGUGUUGGUGUUGGUAUGAAACAGAACGAGAGUUAGAAGCUUAAUCGAUUUCCCUGUCUAACACCACCAUCUGGCCCAUAGCUGUUUAGGCGAAGUUCACUUUAGCGCAAGCGGAAACAGACCUUAUACAUGUCUGCUGAGAGUAUAUUUCAAUAUCUUCAUGUCCUGCUUUCUAUAAGAGUCAUGGUUUCUCUCUCUCCCACCAAUUUUGAAGUUCCUGAAACUAUAAUCAGGCCUUGGGUCCCGCCCUUCUCCCCUUCACCCAGCCAUAAAAUAUAUACCCAAGAACAUAUGGAAGAAGACAUUCUAGUGUUUAUUUCAUUAUUAUCAUUGUUUUAAACAUUUUCGGUAAUUUCUUUCCGUCAUUGAAUAAUAUUACAAGAUUCAAAUUUGCAUAUUUCGUAUUCAAUGUGAUGUGCUCCACUAAUUGUUUAUCAUUUACUAACAUGGCUGUGUGUGUGUGUCUGUGUGUGUUGCAUGUAAGUAUUAAUCCAUCUAUCACUUUUGUUUAUCUUUUUUUCUUUGUACGUAUGCGUUAGACAUGUAUGCAUGUAUGUAUGUAUGUAUGUAUGUGACUGUCUGUCUUUUGUCUAUCUAUCUAUCUAUCUAUCUAUUUGUGCCUAUCUAUCAACCUUUUUUGGUUCUCUCUGUUACAUACAUACAUAUAUACAUGUUUUAUAUAUAUAUAUAUAUUGUGUGUAUAUAUAUAUAUAUAUAUAUAUAUAUAUAUAUAUAUAUACACGUGUAUAUAUGUAUAUAUAUAUAUAUGAUAUACAUACACACAUGUAUAUAUAUAUACAUAUACACACACACACAUACUCUCUCUUUCUUUCUCUCACACACACACAUACUCCAUUCCUUUAAUUAUCCCACUUCCGUUUUUAUUGUUUCGGAUUUUCUCAUUCUAUAGACAUUCCAAACCUUAAACAAAUUCUGUCAAAAAAAAAAAUCGUCUCGUAGACAACUUCUUAUUAUGAGGUCGGCAGGCAGAAACUCAACGAAUGAACACCACUACAUCAUAAUACUUCAUUAGUUACCUGUUUUCACUUCUUCUUAUUCUUGGACCCUUAUUUCACUGACUCCUUUUAACUCGUUGCCUGUCCAAAAACGUUUUCAAAAGCUUUUCCUAAACGUCCACGCUUGUUUUCAGACUUUCACUUAGCCUUCGUUUCGUACGUUCUGCAUUAUAUAAAGCUUUCCUUUCAUAAGCCCCAAGUUAACUCUGGUGGUUGAAAAACUCGAGAAUGUGUAUCAUAUAGGAUGCAUGGACGCCAGGGAAACAUGUCCUAAGCACCACAUGUGACACACAGGACAGGCAAACGGUUAAGACGACAGUUAAUUCCAUGAGUUAAUUUCUAAGCAGAAUCUGUGGCAUUUGUAGUAGAGAUCUCAAUAUCAUUUCCCAGCUCAUUCCAAGACUGUUGAUAUAUUAAACAUGAAUUAGAUGGUCAAUUCGCAGAAGCACGCUAUUAAGUUACUUUUAAAUAUUCAGGGUUCAAUUCCUAUCGAGCUUUACUUUGCUUUUCCACCUUCUGCGGUCGAUGAAAUAAGCACCAGUUAAGCGCACGGGUCAGUAUCAUCGACUGUUCUCUCCCCACUCAUGUGUAAUUCUGAGUUAGGUAUUAAGAAUCAUGUACAUUAAAACAAAUUUCAAUUAGAAACUCCAUGUCUUCAAAGUUUUUGUUCUAAAACUGGAAAAACGAAAGUUGUCAACAGAUAUCUGUUUGUCACUCCUGUGUGGUUCAUGAUAUAAGACUAGAAGGAGGAGAAUGGCCUAUAUUAAGGGUGGCGGGUGGCAUUGUACAUAGUAUUGGUUUACUAUGUCAGUUAAGGGUGAGAAGGAAGUAGUGUUUAGAUCCCUCGGUGUAAGGUUUGUAGCAAUGUUCUAUCUAUCUAUCUAUCUAUCUAUCUAUCUAUCUAUCUAUCUAUCU
RNAcentral lists this long non-coding RNA (4358 nucleotides) under Octopus vulgaris (common octopus). The record is from RNAcentral. Lineage: Eukaryota; Metazoa; Mollusca; Cephalopoda; Octopoda; Octopodidae.